GAGGGUAUAGCUUAAGUGGUAGAGUGCAUGCCUGGCAUGCAUGAUGUUCUGGGUUCAAUUCCCAGUACCUCCU
Molecule: transfer RNA, 73 nt
Filed under: Camelus dromedarius (Arabian camel)
Lineage: Eukaryota; Metazoa; Chordata; Mammalia; Artiodactyla; Camelidae
Also listed under: 1 other name
Rfam family: tRNA
About the family: Transfer RNA (tRNA) molecules are approximately 80 nucleotides in length. Their secondary structure includes four short double-helical elements and three loops (D, anti-codon, and T loops). Further hydrogen bonds mediate the characteristic L-shaped molecular structure. tRNAs have two regions of fundamental functional importance: the anti-codon, which is responsible for specific mRNA codon recognition, and the 3' end, to which the tRNAs corresponding amino acid is attached (by aminoacyl-tRNA synthetases). tRNAs cope with the degeneracy of the genetic code in two manners: having more than one tRNA (with a specific anti-codon) for a particular amino acid; and 'wobble' base-pairing, i.e. permitting non-standard base-pairing at the 3rd anti-codon position.
Source: Rfam by way of RNAcentral